GAGGCAAAAUGUCCCUGAAGUGUUCUCUGGGGAACCUCCAGCACCUUGCACAGUGCCUGACACACAGCAGGGGCCUCAUAAAUGGCUGUUAAUAAGUGAUAAAACCCACCCAAGACUGCUUUUCUUAUUGCUUUUGAUAAAACUCAUAAGCGAACUCUGAGUGACAGCUGCUUUCUUUGCCUCAUCCUGCUCCCUGUAGCUACCUCUGUGCCUCCGUCCCACAGUUAGAUGCAACAUCCCUGAUUUCCAGGAUCAGCUUAGUUCAUGCCAUUGACCCUUGGUUUUUUUGGUCUAUUCCCAUGUUCACCAGGAAGAGAAGCAUGAGGUUACAUCUGUAAUCUCCCUGCAGCAGAGUCAACUGCAUAAGAAACCAAAAGACACAUCUGCUCCAUGCCAGCUUCGAUAAUUUCUUUGUACCUUCGGCGAAAGAAGCCCAUCUGAAAGGCAGAAAGAAAGAGGAGAAGCUGAGUUAGAAGUGCUGAAGAAUCAGCCAUUGUGACCCCAAGGCAGCCUGUCCCUGGCCUAAGCCACCACAUAAAAAGUCAGACCAUCUGCUGGAAGAACCACAUGGAGAGGCCCUGAGUCGACAUGGAGAGGAAGAAGGACUUGAUUGAAUCCAGCCUUCCAGCUGUCCCUACCAAGGUGCCAGGCACGAGAAUGAAGCUGUCUUGGACUCUGAAGACCAGCUUAGCCACCAGGUAAAUGCCACUAAGUGACCUCACUCAAUGUCAUGUGGGAUGGAAGAAUCACCCAGCCAAACCCUUCCUGGAUCCCUGACCCAGAAAUUUGUCAGAUGUAAUGGUUGUGUAAAGCCACUCAAUUUGGGGGCAGUUUGUAUGCAGCAUAGCUAGCUGGUAUGAUACAACAGCCUGCAAUUCAGGCAGCAGCAGCACUAACAACCAUGAAA
This 907-nucleotide non-coding RNA is filed under the name Pongo abelii (Sumatran orangutan). The record is from RNAcentral. Lineage: Eukaryota; Metazoa; Chordata; Mammalia; Primates; Hominidae.